Molecule: ribosomal RNA, 497 nt
Filed under: uncultured bacterium
Lineage: Bacteria
Description: partial 16S ribosomal RNA
Rfam family: Bacterial small subunit ribosomal RNA
Source: RNAcentral
GAUGAACGCUGGCGGCGUGCCUAAUACAUGCAAGUCGAGCGAACGGACGAGAAGCUUGCUUCUUUGAUGUUAGCGGCGGACGGGUGAGUAACACGUGGAUAACCUACCUAUAAGACUGGGAUAACUUCGGGAAACCGGAGCUAAUACCGGAUAAUAUUUUGAACCGCAUGGUUCAAAAGUGAAAGACGGUCUUGCUGUCACUUAUGGAUGGAUCCGCGCUGCAUUAGCUAGUUGGUAAGGUAACGGCUUACCAAGGCAACGAUGCAUAGCCGACCUGAGAGGGUGAUCGGCCACACUGGAACUGAGACACGGUCCAGACUCCUACGGGAGGCAGCAGUAGGGAAUCUUCCGCAAUGGGCGAAAGCCUGACGGAGCAACGCCGCGUGAGUGAUGAAGGUCUUCGGAUCGUAAAACUCUGUUAUUAGGGAAGAACAUAUGUGUAAGUAACUGUGCACAUCUUGACGGUACCUAAUCAGAAAGCCACGGCUAACUACGUG